Molecule: non-coding RNA, 113 nt
Organism: Acanthosepion pharaonis
Lineage: Eukaryota; Metazoa; Mollusca; Cephalopoda; Sepiida; Sepiidae
Source: the annotation of a GenBank genome assembly
CUUGCGGCCAUAUCACGUUGAAACCCCGAUUUCUCUAUGAUCACCGAAGUUAAGCAACGCCAUGACUGGUUAGUAUCAAGAUGGAUGACCGAUUGGGAAUACCAGGUGCUAUA